GUUAGGAAUAUUGGACAAUGGGCGAAAGCCUGAUCCAGCCAUGCCGCGUGAACGAUGAAGGCCUUCGGGUUGUAAAGUUCUUUAGCCGAUGAUUAUAAUGACUGUAGUCGGAAAAUAAGCCCCGGCUAACUUCGUGCCAGCAGCCGCGGUAAUACGAAGGGGGCGAGCGUUAUUCGGAAUCACUGGGCGUAAAGCGUGUGUAGGCGGUUUUGUAAGUUAGGAGUGAAAGCCCAGGGCUCAACCUUGGAAUUGCUCUUAAAACUGCAAGGCUCGAAUCUCGGAGAGGAUAGCGGAAUUUCCAGUGUAGCAGUGAAAUGCGUAGAUAUUGGAAGGAACACCAGUGGCGUAAGCGGCUAUCUGGACGAGUAUUGACGCUGAGGCACGAAAGCGUGGGGAUCAAACAGGAUUAGAUACCCUGGUAGUCC
Molecule: ribosomal RNA, 425 nt
Filed under: uncultured bacterium
Lineage: Bacteria
Description: partial 16S ribosomal RNA
Rfam family: Bacterial small subunit ribosomal RNA
Source: RNAcentral